UCACCUUUAGGAAGAAGGGAGCAAGUGUAAAUCAAGGAAGUAGAUACAGAAGUCCUGGAAGAGCACGGGGCUCUUUUCUGGAACGUGGAAUCACAGAAUGAGCCGAGUUGGAAGGGACCCACAAGGACCAUCAAGUGCAACCUCUAGCCCUGCACAGGACCAUCCCCAAGAGUCACAGCAUUUGAUCUUCCAAUGGAAAUUGGAGGCACACAUAGGCCUGCCAGAAUGCCGGGGGGGGGGGGGUUGUGUCUUCCUGGAAUAGUGGUUGCAGAAAGACAGGUGACAUUACAUGUAUCAUAAGGAAUGACAUAAAGCAUAUUUGGGCAACUGAUUGAAACCAAAGUUGUCAGAGAAUUGCUCUACAGACUCUGUUAACUGUAUAUACUAAAUCUCCAGUGAUUACAGUUGGACCUUAUAUUGUGAGGUUUUAUGGAGAAACAGACUUAUGGGCUUACCAUGCUUCAAAAGUCCUUCCCAAGCUGGAACAUCAUAUUAUAAUGUUGACACUGAGUGGUCUGAAUUUUACCUUUAGUGAUUCAUAUUAAAAUAUUUUCUAAGAAAAUUUAUUGUGUAGCAUGAGAGUUAUGUACUGUGAGAAUACCUGGAAGAAACACAAAUAAUACUUACAGAUUGCACUUGGAGCUGCAGAUCAUUUUUUUCUUGCAUUAGAGAAGCCAUUUUCUCCUCCAGCUCCUUCCGCUUUGCCUCAGACUUUGCAAGCUCUUCCUUGGUUUUCUCAAACUCUCCCUUCAUGUUGGCCAUCUCCUUCUCAGACUCUGCACUCUUCAGCAAGGGCUUGAUCUUGAAGAA
Long non-coding RNA from Pseudopipra pipra, 810 nucleotides. RefSeq lists it as uncharacterized. NCBI's taxonomy places the organism in Eukaryota, Metazoa, Chordata, Aves, Passeriformes, Pipridae. The record is from RefSeq and is a predicted model, not a curated record. The transcript is spliced from 2 exons.